UACGUAGGGGGCGAGCGUUGUCCGGAAUCAUUGGGCGUAAAGCGCGUGUAGGCGGCUCGGUAAGUCUGCUGUGAAAGUCCAGGGCUCAACCCUGGAAUGCCGGUGGAUACUGUCGAGCUUGAGUCCGGAAGAGGCGAGUGGAAUUCCUGGUGUAGCGGUGAAAUGCGCAGAUAUCAGGAGGAACACCAAUGGCGAAGGCAGCGCGCUGGGACGUGACUGACGCUGAGACGCGAAAGCGUGGGGAGCAAACAGG
Molecule: ribosomal RNA, 253 nt
Filed under: uncultured bacterium
Lineage: Bacteria
Description: partial 16S ribosomal RNA
Rfam family: Bacterial small subunit ribosomal RNA
Source: RNAcentral